This 1554-nucleotide ribosomal RNA is filed under the name Escherichia coli. RNAcentral's name for it is "bacterial SSU rRNA". It matches the Rfam family "Bacterial small subunit ribosomal RNA". The record is from RNAcentral. Lineage: Bacteria; Pseudomonadati; Pseudomonadota; Gammaproteobacteria; Enterobacterales; Enterobacteriaceae.
AAAUUGAAGAGUUUGAUCAUGGCUCAGAUUGAACGCUGGCGGCAGGCCUAACACAUGCAAGUCGAACGGUAACAGGAAGAAGCUUGCUUCUUUGCUGACGAGUGGCGGACGGGUGAGUAAUGUCUGGGAAACUGCCUGAUGGAGGGGGAUAACUACUGGAAACGGUAGCUAAUACCGCAUAACGUCGCAAGACCAAAGAGGGGGACCUUCGGGCCUCUUGCCAUCGGAUGUGCCCAGAUGGGAUUAGCUUGUUGGUGGGGUAACGGCUCACCAAGGCGACGAUCCCUAGCUGGUCUGAGAGGAUGACCAGCCACACUGGAACUGAGACACGGUCCAGACUCCUACGGGAGGCAGCAGUGGGGAAUAUUGCACAAUGGGCGCAAGCCUGAUGCAGCCAUGCCGCGUGUAUGAAGAAGGCCUUCGGGUUGUAAAGUACUUUCAGCGGGGAGGAAGGGAGUAAAGUUAAUACCUUUACUCAUUGACGUUACCCGCAGAAGAAGCACCGGCUAACUCCGUGCCAGCAGCCGCGGUAAUACGGAGGGUGCAAGCGUUAAUCGGAAUUACUGGGCGUAAAGCGCACGCAGGCGGUUUGUUAAGUCAGAUGUGAAAUCCCCGGGCUCAACCUGGGAACUGCAUCUGAUACUGGCAAGCUUGAGUCUCGUAGAGGGGGGUAGAAUUCCAAGUGUAGCGGUGAAAUGCGUAGAGAUCUGGAGGAAUACCGGUGGCGAAGGCGGCCCCCUGGACGAAGACUGACGCUCAGGUGCGAAAGCGUGGGGAGCAAACAGGAUUAGAUACCCUGGUAGUCCACGCCGUAAACGAUGUCGACUUGGAGGUUGUGCCCUUGAGGCGUGGCUUCCGGAGCUAACGCGUUAAGUCGACCGCCUGGGGAGUACGGCCGCAAGGUUAAAACUCAAAUGAAUUGACGGGGGCCCGCACAAGCGGUGGAGCAUGUGGUUUAAUUCGAUGCAACGCGAAGAACCUUACCUGGUCUUGACAUCCACAGAACCUUGUAGAGAUACGAGGGUGCCUUCGGGAACUGUGAGACAGGUGCUGCAUGGCUGUCGUCAGCUCGUGUUGUGAAAUGUUGGGUUAAGUCCCGCAACGAGCGCAACCCUUAUCCUUUGUUGCCAGCGGUCCGGCCGGGAACUCAAAGGAGACUGCCAGUGAUAAACUGGAGGAAGGUGGGGAUGACGUCAAGUCAUCAUGGCCCUUACGACCAGGGCUACACACGUGCUACAAUGGCGCAUACAAAGAGAAGCGACCUCGCGAGAGCAAGCGGACCUCAUAAAGUGCGUCGUAGUCCGGAUUGGAGUCUGCAACUCGACUCCAUGAAGUCGGAAUCGCUAGUAAUCGUGGAUCAGAAUGCCACGGUGAAUACGUUCCCGGGCCUUGUACACACCGCCCGUCACACCAUGGGAGUGGGUUGCAAAAGAAGUAGGUAGCUUAACCUUCGGGAGGGCGCUUACCACUUUGUGAUUCAUGACUGGGGUGAAGUCGUAACAAGGUAACCGUAGGGGAACCUGCGGUUGGAUCACCUCCUUACCUUAAAGAAGC